AACAACAACAGCCAACAACAUCGACACACAACUCGUAUAACGCAAUCUCAACAUCCCAACGUUAACAACCACUUCAACAAACGACGAAAUCCGCUCUAACCCAGCGAACCCAACAACCCGUAUCUGCAACAGCAACCAACGCAACAAUAACAACCACAAUUCAAUGCAACAACAGUACAACAACGGAAAGAACUAGCUCAGCAACAACGUUUCAAUUCGUACAAAUUCCAGUCAAACCUUAUCUCAAAUUUUGAAAUUCAAAUCCUAAUUCGUUUUUCCUCUUAACCCCUUCGUUUCCCCCAAAAAUCAGUCUCAUAUAUCCUAUAAAUACCCACGAAUGUAGAAUGAAGGGGAGGAGGAUUUUGGAUAAAAAUUUGGGAGUUCUGGAGGUGCAUGCCUCUAACUUCACACAACCGAAAUCCCGACGGAAAACUAAAAUCCAGCAAAGUCACUAUUAUUUUGAUAGAUUGGAAUUGUGUUUUGCCGGUGGUGGAAGUUUGUCGUCAAGGUUCGUCGUCCCGUUUCUUGCCCCGAAAAAGGUGGAAGGUGGUUUGUAUACGCCAACAUAUGAUGCAUAGUGAAUUUGGAAGCAAAUAUACAACCAUUUACAUAUCACUAUAUAGUAAAUAUACGGAAAAACGUGAAGAAAAGGUGCUGUGAUAUACAGAUGAUAUACACAGCUGAAAGAAAUUUGAAAAAAGGACCAUUUAAAUAGGCCCCAAACCAAUGGUGUCCAGAUUUGAAAAUGGGUCAAGUAAGGGCCCAAUUUCAAUUCUUGUAUUCACUUUUUGUAGUUUAUAGAGUAUUGUUUAUUUGUAUUAACUAAUACUUUAAAUCAAUUAAUCUAGAUAAAUUUCCCAAGGUGUUGCCAUUU
Molecule: long non-coding RNA, 874 nt
Organism: Capsicum annuum
Lineage: Eukaryota; Viridiplantae; Streptophyta; Magnoliopsida; Solanales; Solanaceae
Exons: 2
Source: RefSeq, a predicted model, not a curated record